Molecule: non-coding RNA, 29 nt
Filed under: Rattus norvegicus (Norway rat)
Lineage: Eukaryota; Metazoa; Chordata; Mammalia; Rodentia; Muridae
Source: RNAcentral
UAGAUAUGCUGAUACAAAACCCCACGUCC